GGCAGUUUGCGGGGGGACUGUUCGCAGUUGAGAAGGUUACAACCUGACCCUUUGAACCUGUUGGUUAAUACCAGCGUAGGGAAGCGACAACUUUGCUUUG
RNAcentral lists this non-coding RNA (100 nucleotides) under Paenibacillus sp. CECT 9249. RNAcentral describes it as "TPP". It matches the Rfam family "TPP riboswitch aptamer (THI element)". From Rfam's summary of the family: Vitamin B(1) in its active form thiamin pyrophosphate (TPP) is an essential coenzyme that is synthesised by coupling of pyrimidine and thiazole moieties in bacteria. The previously detected thiamin-regulatory element, thi box was extended, resulting in a new, highly conserved RNA secondary structure, the THI element, which is widely distributed in eubacteria and also occurs in some archaea. Lineage: Bacteria; Bacillati; Bacillota; Bacilli; Caryophanales; Paenibacillaceae. The record is from RNAcentral.